CUGUCUGUCUGUCUAGCACCACAGCUCGGGCGCUGCUGCAGAGGGAAGAAAGAUUUGGGGAGAGGGGCUCAGAGACGGGCUGGGGGUGGGGUCUCCCUGGCUGAUUUUGGCCUGAAAAGGAUAGCUCCUUCGGCUUAGGGACUAGGGCUGGGACUGGGUGACAGGUGGGGAAACAGGCACAGAGAGGGCAGUGCCCAUUCCUGAUGUGGUCUGGAGUGGAGCCUGGGCAGGGUGGUACCACGUGGGUGCUUUAGUCUGUGGGCCACAGAGCCUCGAGACAGAGCACAGGGAGGGAUGGCACGGGGACCCAAGGACCGGGACUGGGAGUCCUUUUACCACCUCCUAGUGGGUGCUCUUAAGUCCAUCGUACGUGUUUCAUGUUCCCCGCGACCGGGGCCCUGCAGAGGCCCAGCCGCCGCUGGACUGCAGGAAGUAUUUAUGAGCACAUCUGUGUGCUGCAAUUGUGUGUCUCUAACGGGGGAGGGGGAGGAGGGGAUUUGGUGGUGAUUAUUUAAGGUAGAGGGCAGCAAGGGGAUGGGGGCAGAAGAAGUGCGGCUCCCGCACGGUUACUGUGCUGCUUGUAUAGGAGAGAGGCACACCCGCCUCAGGGAUGAGAGCGGGUCGGGACCAGAGGCCUGUGGGUAAUUCUCGGUAUCCGCGGGAAGGGAGCAAAGGGAUCCGAGUGGUUUGCGGUCCUUCAUGGUUUUAUUACACAUCGUAGGAGAAUAAAGAAGUUGUAAUGAUGGCCUUGAGUAGAGCAAUUGUGAGACUGUGCUGGACAAAAGACGGUGAUUAAUCCAGGUCCGCUAACCCAACAUCCGCACACAAAAAGCUCUGGGCUAUUUGCUUCCCUUUAAGGGGGCUUUGUGUUCCCUAGAAUGGGCACACUGGGGUUUCUCCUCUGGAGAAGAUCCCCGCUGUGGGGAAGGAAACUGAAGUCCGGCACAAGCCAGGACUGCUGGGCGUCCCCUGUGUAGUUAACAACGAGUAUGGACGCACCGAGGAAGUGAGAGCGCCAACACGCGCCAAUGCGGAGAGCGUGUCUAUGGACAGGUGUUAGGAGCGAUCUGGCUCUACCCAAAGUAGUUGUUAAAAAUAGUGAAACAGACACCCAACUGUGGGUGUGGGUAGGAAGCAUAGCCCCAGGUGUAUUUAAGAAAAGAAAAGUAAAAGGAGUUCCCUGGCGGCUCAGGGGGUGAAGGAUCUGGUGUCGUCAUUGAUGUGGCUCAGGUCACUGCUGUGGUAUGGGUUCAAGGCCUGGCCCUGGAAUUUACAUAUAUAAAUGUCAUGGGAAUGGCCAACAAAAAACCAAAAAAGCCCAGAUGUGUGGAACAGUCAUUGGUCCUGGGCUGAAUGGUGCCUUCGUGUGUAUCUGCCUAUGGUCGGAAAUGAAUUAGACGCGUAAAUAAAAUACAGGACGAAAUCAGAGCAGACCAAGUGGGAACCAUCCAAGAUAAGGUUUUACGAAUUACAGAGUAAGAUGAACACGCUUAUGUAGAAUCGUGGACUGUUUAGAGCAACAAAACCAAAGUUCUCACCUCUGGGAAUAAGAAGCAUCGUUUUAUUGUGUGUUGGAGCUGAGUUCAUGUGUGUUCCCUGUAUUUAAAAAAAAAAAAGUAAAAACGAGAAAAGGGACAAGUAGGAAACAAAGAGGAGAUUACAUCUGGAAUCAAAGCUAAUUAUGGCUUCAGUUCUGAGCCCAUUAGGAAAAAGAUCUGGGCUGGUCCUUCUGUGAGGAGAGCAGCAGAGAGACAGAUGCUUAUCAUGGUCAUUAGUCUUGUUUCUGAUUAGGGUGGUGAAUUCAUGCAUGUUGAUUGUAAUAAAUAACAUGAUUAAACGAAAAAAUAUGCCCAGUGAGCGCUGUGCCUGGGCCGGCAGUGAGUCUGUGUCUUGAAGCAAAGGUUGUGAUUUAUCCUGGGCUGCGCAGCCGUUGGCUGUUAGCAAACAUCUAGGUUGAUUCAUCCUUUUUAACAUCUGCCUUGUGUCCCACAGAACGGAGGCCCCAGAGUGGGUCCCCUGACAUGCCGCUGGUGAAGACCGUGGCCGUGACCUCUGUGGGAAACGAGCCGUGGACCAACCAACGUUAUUACAGAAUAUUGAGUCGAUCUCCUUGUGCUUUACAGAAAGAUUCAAAAAGGACCAAGAAUGGCGAUGGGGAGUGUGGAGUUGCAUGAAGACUAUUGGCUGAUCCUUGUGCCACCAGCGAGGUCCCCUGUAGAAAGAUUCUAUUAGGUCUGAGAGAAAUGAACAAAAAUCACAGAUUCAACAUACCCAAUCUGAUUGACUCAGUGAUGAAGCUGUCAGCUGUCAGUAUCCGUGGAUACACAGCCAAGGGACUCACGUAUAGGAUGAAGAUGAUUUUUAUCUCAAAUGAUUCUGAAAAAGAGGGCAGACUCUGAAGAGUAUGGCGCAUAUAAGGUGGAGGAAGAUUAAUGACUGAUCCUGUUCCACCCUCCUGAGGGCCAUAUAACAAGAUGGGACCUAGUUUCUCCCUGCUUCGAUUAAGUACAUGGAGAUACGCCAGGUGCCGUACUGACUCCCCUCUUCCACUGUGACAGUCAGAGACACCUCGACAUCGGCAAGUGACCGCUGGGGGCAGUGUUGCCCCCACUGAGAAGCAUCAGGAAUGACCCCAGGACAGCACAUUUACUCAUUUUCUAAGGAACAAAAUCUUGGCAGUUAGCUCUGUGGCUUAAGAACAGAGAGAAAUUUAAUGCAAACACAGCAAGCUGAUCUGAUCCUUCUCUGACUGGGAAGACCCUGACUAUUCUGGGACUUAGGAGAUUAAAGGCCAAGGUGAGGAAGCAUCAGUGUUGGUGUUAUUACACCUGCUUUACCAUAAGGACAAAUCAGGCAAAAGGCAGAAGAGCAGGUGGACGCUAAUGAGUGAACAGAGAAUGGCUGAUUUAAUCAUUUAAUAAAGAAUUGCUAUCAUGAGCGAGCAGCAUAAAGUCUAAUAUAAAGUGAAGACACUGUCGCAUUUGGUCGUUAGCCUGUGAUGGAGACCUUGACCUUUGCCUCUCCGGAUAAAGAGAGAAGCGCUCGCUGGUGACGAUGGUGGCCAUGGCUUCCGUGGGUAAAUCGAGGAACAAAAAGGAUGCUGUUCUUGGGUCAGUGAUGACAGUGAGACUUGACUCGACUUCAUGAUUAACCUAGCACCACCAACUGAUGUUCUUUAAGUCAGUCUGGACCCUUUGUCCUUCUGAACGUUGCUCCACAGAAUGAAGGUCACGGCUGAUUGCAUCCGUCUGUUCUGAGGAAGAUCUUGGCUGUUACCUUUCUGGAAUGGAUGUGCAAUGAUUCAAUUAAAGACUAUAGAACUUACAGUGGGUGCUCCAGGUCAAUGUAAGCAUCUUCAAGAGUCCUGCUCUCUCUGGCCGCCUCAACGUGUCCGGAACAUGGAGACUGAUAAUCAACGCCUCAGCUGAUUUCAGCUUCUGCCACGAUCAAGACUGUCCUGCUGCCACCGUUUUGUAAAAGACCAAGACUGAACUCGACGAGAUGACUGGAAAAUUCUCUCAUGGUCACGUUCUCCGGUUGCCUCCACGUCUGGGCGUAUAGAGACCAGAAAAGAGCACUGAACUCACCCAAGCCACCACGUUCAGGACGUCAAGGCAGCAUCUCUGUCCAGAACCAUCAAGUCCAAUGGUGGAUGCUCUCAAGCCGGUGCAGACAUUGCCCGUGGCUUCUCCCGUGUGUGAAGAGCUAGCGAGGAAGAACUGAUGCACCUGAACCGAUUAAGCAUUUGGCCAUCACAGGAGCUGCACUGGUGGUCCUGUGCGCAAAAUGGAUCCUCUAAGCUGAUUUCAACUUCUGUGAUUAAGGUUGUCACGUUGCCUCCGUGUUGGGAAAGAGACAAAGGUUUUCUGGAAGGAUUCCUUCAUUGAUAACGAUGUAAGCUAUUUUCAUGGGAAGGGAAGAACAAGUUGGCGCUAGUGAAUGAACUGAAGUGGUGUUAUCCUUCUGCCCUGGCUCUGAACUCUGUGUCAGGAGCCAAGAGACCAAUAGUGGACCUGCCUGAAGGGGUUUAGCGCCUUCCAUGAUGACAAGCUCUUUGGCGGCAUCUACACAGCAUAAGCGUGGAGACCUGGUGUGCAGCCGCCGGACCUGAAGGCAGGCUCCUUCCUGGAUGAGCAGGCGAGGAUGGCAGCGUUGUCUUUGGAGCCAGAGAACCAGUGGUGGAAGCCGAAGGCCAGGCCAGGCUGCGUGGGGCCGAGACCCCUCCUCUGGCGGUGGUGGCAGGAGAGAUCCCAAGGAGUGGAGCCAUUCCCUGGGGAAGCCCCUGAAAGUGCAACAGUGGGUGUGACAGAGGAGCAGCAAUGGGCUGGAGACCUUCAGGGGCCAGGGACCUCCGUCGUCAAUGUUUGGGUCCCGGCCGGGAUGGAGUUGGGUGAUGGAGAAGCCUGGUCCAGUGACUCUUCAGUGGGAAGACCGGGGCGCAGGGAAGAAGGUGUCACGAGACCGGCCUGGUGGAUGCAGGUUAUCUGAUGGAUGGCUCAAGGGGGCUCGGGCUCUGUCCUGGCAGGGAUCUGUGUCUUUGUGAAGAAACAGCGGCCCCGUUUAGGGGACUGAGUGCAGCCCAGCCCCAGCCCGUCCUCCAACCCCCAAGCCCCGAGGUUCUGCCUCCUUGGGCUCGUAGGAGAAUCACCUGGCCCCAGGGAAGGAGCAGAACCGGCUGACGCUUGAGUCCGCUGAGUGCAGAAAGGGCGAGUCAGUGGCGGUCCUCCUCGCUUUCCCUGUCCCUCUGUCACUGUCCCUGACUCUCUGUCUCGGUGUCUCUGCCUCAGUCUGUCCCUCUUGUCUCUCGCCUGGCUCUCUCUGUCGCCGUACGGGUCUCUUUCCUUUCUGGCAGCUUCGCGUCUGUGUGGUGGGGUGCCCACCGGACCCUGUCGAGCCGAUUGGACCCGUUUCCCUGGUGAGGCCCCUAGACGAUUCCUUCAGUGGGGGAGAUGGCCAAGGAAGCAGUGUGGCAGGCAGCCGCCAGGCCCGAAGGCCGGCUCCUUCCUGGAUGAGCAGGCGAGGAUGGCAGCGUUGUCUUUGGAGCCAGGGGACCAGUGGUGGAAGCCGAAGGCCGGGCCAGGCUCCGUGGAGCCGAGACCCCUCCUCUGGCGGUGGUGGCAGGAGAGAUCCCAAGUUUUGUCCUUGGGCCAGGUGUUUGGAUUUCAUUGCCUUAGUCCUAAAUGGAGUCCCAACAUGAAGGACAUCCCUGCGACUGGAGAGCCCUGCCCCUCCGGGCUCACUAGUGGAGGCCCGAGAACAUGGAUAUUCAUGAGGGUCCCUCCGUGUGGAGUGUGUACCCCUCAGAGCAAUUGCACUGGAGAUGCUUUAGCAUCUUCCGUACGGACCCGAGCUCUGGGAUUGCCUCUGAACAUACGUGUUAGGACAUGGGAGAGUCACAGGACAUGCUCCCCGCUCUUUCGGCUUCUGCUGAGCUCAAGAUUGUCAGGCCGCCUCCGCGCCAGCAAAGAAGCGAAGGAGGGUGCACCGGACCUGAAUGCAGCUUUCUUCCUUGAUGAGCAGGACAGGAGCUCAAAGGGAUGUUGGCCUCCGCUGGGAUGAAGGCUCUCCUCUUGGAGUUGUUCUAGGAGAGACCAAGGGCCACACCCGCGGCAUUUGGAAGUUUCUAGGCUGGGGGUCGAAUCGGAGCCAUAGCCGCCGGCCUACACCACAGCCACAGCAACACAGGAUCCAAGCCACAUCUGCAGCCUACGCCACAGCUCAAGCAACGCUGGAUCCCUAACCCAUGGAGCAGGGCCAGGAAUUGAGCUCCCUUCUUCGUGGAUACCAGUCGGGUUUGUUACCGCUGAGCCACAAUGGGAACUCCCCAGCAUAACUGUUUUAAAAAGAUAUAUUACUGUGAGAAUAAACUUACCUAAUAAGGAUAUCAUGUCUUUUCUAGGGUUUUUGUGAAUGAAUGGUUUUAAAUUAUUUUUAGUGAUUUACUGAAUUUGUCAAUAAGCCACAGAGAAAUGAGUGAAGAAAAAGAGGGACUUAUUGGUGGCAUAUGAGGCAUGUACAGUGCAUGUGUGUCUGGAACUCUGAGGUCCAGUGUGGGUGGAAUCUAGUCCAUUGUCCUGUUUGGGGUGAUUCUAGAGACACAUGUCUAGAAAAUACAAGAAACUCGUUUGUGGGUUUUUAUAUUUAUGUACUUUCUUUUGAAAUAAUUGGAUCAAUGAAAUAAAGAAUAAACAACCCAAUAAAUACAUAAAGAUGAAAACAG
This 6220-nucleotide long non-coding RNA is filed under the name Sus scrofa (pig). RNAcentral describes it as "lncRNA (ENSSSCG00015008985.1)". The stretch from base 5987 to 6049 matches the Rfam family "Small nucleolar RNA SNORD113/SNORD114 family". The record is from RNAcentral. Lineage: Eukaryota; Metazoa; Chordata; Mammalia; Artiodactyla; Suidae.